UGAAACAACACGGGAGAGACUGUCAUCCGAAUUGGAGUGACAGCGCCGACGGAGCAACCGCCCCGGAAACUCUCAGGCAAAAGGACCGUGGUGUCAGA
Molecule: non-coding RNA, 98 nt
Filed under: Burkholderia vietnamiensis
Lineage: Bacteria; Pseudomonadati; Pseudomonadota; Betaproteobacteria; Burkholderiales; Burkholderiaceae
Description: Glycine sequence
Rfam family: Glycine riboswitch aptamer
About the family: This family represents the bacterial glycine riboswitch. Glycine riboswitches usually consist of two metabolite-binding aptamers domains with similar structures in tandem. The aptamers cooperatively bind glycine to regulate the expression of downstream genes.
Source: RNAcentral